Molecule: ribosomal RNA, 421 nt
Filed under: uncultured bacterium
Lineage: Bacteria
Description: bacterial SSU rRNA
Rfam family: Bacterial small subunit ribosomal RNA
Source: RNAcentral
UGAGGAAUAUUGGUCAAUGGACGGAAGUCUGAACCAGCCAUGCCGCGUGAAGGAUGAAGGCGUUCUGCGUUGUAAACUUCUUUUAUCUGGGAAGAAACCACAGAUUUCUAUUUGUGUUGACGGUACCAGAGGAAUAAGCACCGGCUAACUCCGUGCCAGCAGCCGCGGUAAUACGGAGGGUGCGAGCGUUAUCCGGAUUUACUGGGUUUAAAGGGUGCGUAGGCGGACUAAUAAGUCAGUGGUGAAAGCCUGCAGCUUAACUGCAGAAUUGCCAUUGAUACUGUUAGUCUUGAGUACAGUUGAGGUAGGCGGAAUGUGUCAUGUAGCGGUGAAAUGCUUAGAUAUGACACAGAACACCGAUUGCGAAGGCAGCUUGCUAAGCUGUAACUGACGCUGAGGCACGAAAGCGUGGGGAGCAAAC